RNAcentral lists this ribosomal RNA (573 nucleotides) under Aspergillus sp. ASR-230. RNAcentral's name for it is "eukaryotic LSU rRNA". The stretch from base 219 to 372 matches the Rfam family "5.8S ribosomal RNA". The record is from RNAcentral. Lineage: Eukaryota; Fungi; Ascomycota; Eurotiomycetes; Eurotiales; Aspergillaceae.
UAUCCCUUUUAGUGAACUGCGGAAGGAUCAUUACCGAGUGCGGGUCCUUUGGGCCCAACUCCCAUCCGUGUCUAUUGUACCCUGUUGCUUCGGCGGGCCCGCCGCUUGUCGCCGCCGGGGGGGCGCCUCUGCCCCCCGGGCCCGUGCCCGCCGGAGACCCCAACACGAACCCCUGUCUGAAAGCGUGCAGUCUGAGUCGAUUGUUUGCAAUCAGUUAAAACUUUCAACAAUGGAUCUCUUGGUUCCGGCAUCGAUGAAGAACGCAGCGAAAUGCGAUAACUAAUGUGAAUUGCAGAAUUCAGUGAAUCAUCGAGUCUUUGAACGCACAUUGCGCCCCCUGGUAUUCCGGGGGGCAUGCCUGUCCGAGCGUCAUUGCUGCCCUCAAGCCCGGCUUGUGUGUUGGGUCGCCGUCCCCUCUCUCCGGGGGGACGGGCCCGAAAGGCAGCGGCGGCACCGCGUCCGAUCCUCGAGCGUAUGGGGCUUUGUCACAUGCUCUGUAGGAUUGGCCGGCGCCUGCCGACGUUUUCCAACCAUUCUUUCCAGUGACCUCGAGUCAGUAGGAUACCCCGACUA